GACGGAGGGUGCAAGCGUUGCUCGGAAUCACUGGGCGUAAAGGGUGCGUAGGCGGUCUUGCAAGUCCCGUGUGAAAUCCCUCGGCUCAACUGAGGAAUUGCACGGGAAACUGCUUGGCUUGAGAUCGGGAGAGGGAAGCGGAAUUCCGGGUGUAGCGGUGAAAUGCGUAGAUAUCCGGAGGAACACCGGUGGCGAAGGCGGCUUCCUGGACCGACACUGACGCUGAGGCGCGAAAGCUAGGGGAGCGAACAGG
Molecule: ribosomal RNA, 253 nt
Filed under: uncultured bacterium
Lineage: Bacteria
Description: partial 16S ribosomal RNA
Rfam family: Bacterial small subunit ribosomal RNA
Source: RNAcentral